Molecule: long non-coding RNA, 952 nt
Organism: Pongo pygmaeus (Bornean orangutan)
Lineage: Eukaryota; Metazoa; Chordata; Mammalia; Primates; Hominidae
Exons: 5
Source: RefSeq, a predicted model, not a curated record
CCCCAAUUCCCAUCCUAACCCCCACCCUCUCUUUUGUACCCCAUAGCUGCGGCACACAGGGCUGAAUGAGUUCGUUCCACAGGCAAGGAGCGUCUGGGAGUCCCAGGGAACAAGAACACGAAUAUAGUUGUAGCACUCGUCCUAGAGAACCCAAAAUUCUAGUAUAGACGGGGUUUCACCGUGUUAGCCAGGAUGGUCUCAAUCUCCUGGAGAGUCCAUGUUCUUAACCUCCACACGAUGCUGCCUCUAAGUGAAGAAACCAGGCCCAGGGAUGAGAAGCAGCUGGCAGGAGGUGUCAGCUCACGCUACCUGUUUGCUUCUUUUUGCUGGUCUGGCUGUUAGCUUCCUUGAGGCUGGGAGCCUUCCUGCACCUUGCCUCCCACACAGGGGGUCUCAGUCUCUAAUUGUUCACAGAGAUGGGGCAAGGCCCUUCCCUCUGCAACUGGUCCAAACUGGCUGGUGUGAGGACUGCAUGCAUGACCCCAGCCUCCCUCAGCCAAAUGACCCUGGCUGGGGCCCACAGUAGGAGGUAUAUACCAGCUUCCUGCCUUCCCCUAAAAUUGAAGUGAGGGACUUGGUCGGCUCCAAAAAUCAGGUCAAGAAGGGGGAAGAGAAAGGAAGAGAAAGGGACAUAGCUUGUCUCUCAUCCUCCCCAACCUGCUCUCCCCACCACCCCCCUGCCUCCAAGUUGUCCUGAGCAACUGGUAUCUUCACCCUGGAAACAACUUUGGUCUCUGGCAAGUGGGGAGAAGAGCCAGCCCCUCUUCCUGCUCCCUGCUCAUGCCUGCUUCCACCCUCUGCCCUCAGGAGCUGCUGCCCUUUCCUUACCUGGGGUGGUGACUCCUGUGGGGGCUUGAGGGGGAUAGGAAACCUCUGACCUGAUGGAAGACAGGACAAAGGAGGGAAGAGACUGCAUUAUGCUCCCCUUACCACAUCCCUUACAAGUAAAUGU